CUGCUGGUGCCAGUUCUCGCCCCCUGAGCACGCACGGGCGAGCGAUCCCGUAUCCAGGAGGAAGGUGCAGCUAUUUUCGUGCUUUUGGCGGAGUCACUGAAGCGGCUGAGGGGGCGGCUCGCUUUCCUGCUGAAGGGACGCGUCAGUUGUUGAGACAGAUUCAGGCCGGAAUGACAAGUGUUUCCUUGGGCUUACCAUGGGUGAGCUUCUGAAUUCUGACUGAGGAACACUUGGCAUGGCAUUCCUCAUGGAGGAGAAAAGGCAUAAAGGUGAUGUUAAGGCACCUUUACUCUUCCCUGAUUUGGACUGCUUUGCUCCUGGACAGUCUCCUCAACACUGACUUUGAGCUAUGAUGCAGCCUCUUAGCCUAAGUGUCUGUUUUGACAGCUGAUGCCAGCACAUAAAUCUUGCACUGGUCAAAACAAAUGGAACGGAACGAAAACUAGAGCCAUGCCAUGUGAGGACGCUGACAUCUGUGGAUCAUAACCAUCAAUCCCUUGCUCACGAGAGCCUGCAGAGCUGCUUCUGGCCACACUGAAGACAGAGUUAAAUGUGAAGUUGGCAGAAAGAGCAAAAUAUGAAAUUGCCCAAAAUACACUUUUGCUCAGUAUUUUGCCUAUGCCCCAGUGAUGAUUUUGAACAAUUGCCUUUGGAAAACUAUCACUCCUCUCUCUCCCGUGGCAGGAAGGAAGAAGUUCUGUGGCAAGUUUAUUUAAAAUUAAUGGUGGUGGAUUUUUUAAGCUGAUGAAAACCCAUAAGAAUCCCUUCUGAAGUAAUGAAUUGGUGAAUAAAUGAUGUGGAAAAAGACA
This 809-nucleotide long non-coding RNA is filed under the name Apteryx haastii (Great spotted kiwi). RNAcentral describes it as "lncRNA (ENSAHAG00000011442.1)". Lineage: Eukaryota; Metazoa; Chordata; Aves; Apterygiformes; Apterygidae. The record is from RNAcentral.